This 253-nucleotide ribosomal RNA is filed under the name uncultured bacterium. Its description in RNAcentral is "partial 16S ribosomal RNA". It matches the Rfam family "Bacterial small subunit ribosomal RNA", at positions 524 to 776 of the family's 1533-position model. The record is from RNAcentral.
UACGUAGGGUGCAAGCGUUAUCCGGAAUUAUUGGGCGUAAAGAGCUCGUAGGCGGUCUGUCGCGUCUGCUGUGAAAACUCAGGGCUUAACCCUGAGCUUGCAGUGGGUACGGGCAGACUAGAGUGCGGUAGGGGAGACUGGAAUUCCUGGUGUAGCGGUGAAAUGCGCAGAUAUCAGGAGGAACACCGGUGGCGAAGGCGGGUCUCUGGGCCGUAACUGACGCUGAGGAGCGAAAGCGUGGGGAGCAAACAGG